RNAcentral lists this ribosomal RNA (253 nucleotides) under uncultured bacterium. RNAcentral's name for it is "partial 16S ribosomal RNA". It matches the Rfam family "Bacterial small subunit ribosomal RNA", at positions 524 to 776 of the family's 1533-position model. The record is from RNAcentral.
UACGUAGGGUGCGAGCGUUGUCCGGAAUUACUGGGCGUAAAGAGCUUGUAGGUGGUUUGUCGCGUUGUCCGUGAAAACUCACAACUCAAUUGUGGGCGUGCGGGCGAUACGGGCAGACUGGAGUACUGCAGGGGAGACUGGAAUUCCUGGUGUAGCGGUGGAAUGCGCAGAUAUCAGGAAGAACACCCGUGGCUAAGGCGGCUCUCUAGUACGGUACUGACGCUGAGACGCGAAAGCGUGGGGAGCGAACAGG